AUUGGCUCACUGGGUUAGAGCAUGGUACUAGCAACACCAGGGUUGUGGGUUCAAUUCCCACAU
RNAcentral lists this transfer RNA (63 nucleotides) under Salmo salar (Atlantic salmon). It matches the Rfam family "tRNA", at positions 6 to 65 of the family's 71-position model. Rfam says of the family: Transfer RNA (tRNA) molecules are approximately 80 nucleotides in length. Their secondary structure includes four short double-helical elements and three loops (D, anti-codon, and T loops). Further hydrogen bonds mediate the characteristic L-shaped molecular structure. tRNAs have two regions of fundamental functional importance: the anti-codon, which is responsible for specific mRNA codon recognition, and the 3' end, to which the tRNAs corresponding amino acid is attached (by aminoacyl-tRNA synthetases). tRNAs cope with the degeneracy of the genetic code in two manners: having more than one tRNA (with a specific anti-codon) for a particular amino acid; and 'wobble' base-pairing, i.e. permitting non-standard base-pairing at the 3rd anti-codon position. The record is from Rfam by way of RNAcentral. Lineage: Eukaryota; Metazoa; Chordata; Actinopteri; Salmoniformes; Salmonidae.